UGUAAGACUGGGAUAACUCCGGGAAACCGGGGCUAAUACCGGAUAGUUCUUUUCCUCGCAUGAGGAAAAGUGGAAAGGCGGCUUCGGCUGCCACUUACAGAUGGACCCGCGGCGCAUUAGCUAGUUGGUGAGGUAACGGCUCACCAAGGCAACGAUGCGUAGCCGACCUGAGAGGGUGAUCGGCCACACUGGGACUGAGACACGGCCCAGACUCCUACGGGAGGCAGCAGU
Molecule: ribosomal RNA, 231 nt
Filed under: Bacillus sp. O1-2
Lineage: Bacteria; Bacillati; Bacillota; Bacilli; Caryophanales; Bacillaceae
Also listed under: 1 other name
Description: partial 16S ribosomal RNA
Rfam family: Bacterial small subunit ribosomal RNA
Source: RNAcentral